RNAcentral lists this ribosomal RNA (492 nucleotides) under uncultured bacterium. RNAcentral's name for it is "partial 16S ribosomal RNA". It matches the Rfam family "Bacterial small subunit ribosomal RNA", at positions 29 to 507 of the family's 1533-position model. The record is from RNAcentral.
AGUGAACGCUGGCGGUAGGCCUAACACAUGCAAGUCGAACGGCCGCACAGUAAGAGCUUGCUCUUACGGGUGGCGAGUGGCGGACGGGUGAGGAAUACAUCGGAAUCUACUUUUUCUUGGGGGAUAACGUAGGGACACUUACGCUACUACCGCAUACGACCUACGGGUGAAAGCAAGGGAUCUUCGCACCUUGCGCGAUUCAAUGAGCCGAUGUCGGAUUAGCUAGUUGGUUGGGUAACGGCUCACCAAGGCGACGAUGCGUAGCCGGCCUGAGAGGAUGAUCAGCCACACUGGAACUGAGACACGGUCCAGACUCCUACGGGAGGCAGCAGUAGGGAAUCUUCGGCAAUGGGCGAAAGCCUGACGGAGCAACGCCGCGUGAGUGAUGAAGGUCUUCGGAUCGUAAAACUCUGUUAUUAGGGAAGAACAAAUGUGUAAUUAACUAUGCACGUCUUGACGGUACCUAAUCAGAAAGCCACGGCUAACUACGUG